AGACCGGUUUACUGGUCGUGCUUUUGUACGUACUGGUAUUAUUGGUUUCUCCUUUCUGACGAACUAUAAUGCCAUUAAUUUGGUGUUUUAGGGAAUCAGGACUGUUACUUUGAAAAAAUUAGAGUGUUUAAAGCAGGCUCACGCUUGAAUACAUUAGCAUGGAAUAACGGAAUAGGACGUUUGAUUCUAUUUUGUUGGUUUCGGAAAUGAAGUA
Molecule: ribosomal RNA, 214 nt
Filed under: Campeiostachys nutans
Lineage: Eukaryota; Viridiplantae; Streptophyta; Magnoliopsida; Poales; Poaceae
Description: Elymus nutans partial small subunit ribosomal RNA
Rfam family: Eukaryotic small subunit ribosomal RNA (bases 46-214)
Source: RNAcentral